AGACAGGGAGCUGGCCUGGUGAUUAUAGAGAGUGACGAGGAGCAGGGGUUCAUCACCAACAGAACAGGAGAGCACCCAUACUGGAUUGGAUUGACUGACUUAGAAACAGAGGGCACCUGGCUCUGGGUAGACAAAACCUUGCUGCAGAAAGGGUUCUGGAGAAGUGGAGAACCGGAUGAUCUUUACUGGUCUGGGGAUGAAACCCAGAGCAAAGAAAAAGAUGCAGACUGUGCAGUUACCAUACCUAAUGAGAACACGUGGCAAGAUGCCCUCUGUUUUUCUCCUUUCAAGUUUGUCUGUGAGACUGGCGCUCUUUUGUUCUAAACAGUCUGCCAUGCUGGAUGAUGUCAUUAUCAUUACUUGGAAUCAUAUCAUCAUUUGGAAAGUAUGUGACUUGAGUGUUGACCUACGAGGAAUGCUUUUAUAAUGUUGCCGUUUUUCUCAAUCGCUUUGGCCCAAUUCCUGCAACAUUGUUGUCAUGUUCUCUUAACUAUAGGAGCAUUUGCCAAAACAUUUUAUGUCCAAUAAAAGACUUCAAAUGAAUUCACAAUGACCAUCACAGUUCAUGUUUUCUUUAUGAACUUUAAGGGGAAAUAGCAUGAAGAAUUACAAUAUUGCACAAUUGCACACCUGUUUUCUCUUCAGAAUGUCCAUAUGAUUGAUGACACCAUGGACCGGCCCGCAUUAGGGUGUAAGACCAUGGUUGAUUACAUACAACGACAUACACAAAGAGUAGUUGCACAGAUUGUUUGAGAGUAAGACUAUUCAACAGGAAAACACCUUAAUCUGUUCUGAUCAGCAAGACUUAUGCCAUUGAACAUUGCGCCAAUUGUAACUGUGAACUAUGGGUGCACCUCCUGUACGUUUCACUGAAA
Conger conger (European conger) is the source of this 875-nucleotide long non-coding RNA. RefSeq lists it as uncharacterized. The transcript has 3 exons. NCBI's taxonomy places the organism in Eukaryota, Metazoa, Chordata, Actinopteri, Anguilliformes, Congridae. The record is from RefSeq and is a predicted model, not a curated record.